Molecule: ribosomal RNA, 488 nt
Filed under: uncultured bacterium
Lineage: Bacteria
Description: bacterial SSU rRNA
Rfam family: Bacterial small subunit ribosomal RNA
Source: RNAcentral
AUUGAACGCUGGCGGCAUGCUUUACACAUGCAAGUCGAACGGUAACAGGUUAAGCUGACGAGUGGCGAACGGGUGAGUAAUGCAUCGGAACGUGCCCGGUCGUGGGGGAUAACGCAGCGAAAGCUGCGCUAAUACCGCAUACGAUCUGAGGAUGAAAGCGGGGGACCGUAAGGCCUCGCGCGAUCGGAGCGGCCGAUGUCAGAUUAGGUAGUUGGUGGGGUAAAGGCUCACCAAGCCGACGAUCUGUAGCUGGUCUGAGAGGACGACCAGCCACACUGGGACUGAGACACGGCCCAGACUCCUACGGGAGGCAGCAGUGGGGAAUUUUGGACAAUGGGCGCAAGCCUGAUCCAGCAAUGCCGCGUGCAGGAAGAAGGCCUUCGGGUUGGUAAACUGCUUUGUACGGAGCGAAAAGGUCUUCCCUAAUACGGGAGGCUGAUGACGGUACCGUAAGAAUAAGCACCGGCUAACUACGUGCCAGCAGCCGC